GAUGAACGCUGGCGGCGUGCUUAACACAUGCAAGUCGAACGGGGGACAAUUUAAAGAAGCUUCGGCAGAUUUAGCUUGUUCCUAGUGGCGGACGGGUGAGUAACGCGUGGGUAACCUGCCUCACACUGGGGGAUAACAGUCAGAAAUGACUGCUAAUACCGCAUAAGCGCACAGAACCGCAUGGUUCAGUGUGAAAAACUCCGGUGGUGUGAGAUGGACCCGCGUUGGAUUAGCCAGUUGGCAGGGUAACGGCCUACCAAAGCGACGAUCCAUAGCCGGCCUGAGAGGGUGGACGGCCACAUUGGGACUGAGACACGGCCCAGACUCCUACGGGAGGCAGCAGUGGGGAAUAUUGCACAAUGGGGGAAACCCUGAUGCAGCGACGCCGCGUGAAGGAAGAAGUAUCUCGGUAUGUAAACUUCUAUCAGCAGGGAAGAAAAUGACGGUACCKACWAGAGCCCGMYYA
Molecule: ribosomal RNA, 466 nt
Filed under: uncultured bacterium
Lineage: Bacteria
Description: bacterial SSU rRNA
Rfam family: Bacterial small subunit ribosomal RNA
Source: RNAcentral